RNAcentral lists this ribosomal RNA (800 nucleotides) under uncultured bacterium. RNAcentral describes it as "bacterial SSU rRNA". It matches the Rfam family "Bacterial small subunit ribosomal RNA", at positions 38 to 801 of the family's 1533-position model. The record is from RNAcentral.
AGGGGCGGCUAAAAUCGCGAGUCGAGCGAGCUUGCCUAGAUGAUUUUAGUGCUUGCACUAAAUGAAACUAGAUACAAGCCAUCGGCGGACGGGUGAGUAACACGUGGGUAACCUGCCCCCGUGACUGGGAUAACACCUGGAAACAGAUGCUAAUACCGGAUAACAACACUAGACGCAUGUCUAGAGUUUGAAAGAUCCUUCUGCUAUCACUCUUGGAUGGACCUGCGGUGCAUUAGCUAGUUGGUAAGGUAACGGCUUACCAAGGCAAUGAUGCAUAGCCGAGUUGAGAGACUGAUCGGCCACAUUGGGACUGAGACACGGCCCAAACUCCUACGGGAGGCAGCAGUAGGGAAUCUUCCACAAUGGACGAAAGUCUGAUGGAGCAACGCCGCGUGAGUGAAGAAGGGUUUCGGCUCGUAAAGCUCUGUUGGUAGUGAAGAAAGAUAGAGGUAGUAACUGGCCUUUAUUUGACGGUAAUUACUUAGAAAGUCACGGCUAACUACGUGCCAGCAGCCGCGGUAAUACGUAGGUGGCAAGCGUUGUCCGGAUUUAUUGGGCGUAAAGCGAGUGCAGGCGGUUCAAUAAGUCUGAUGUGAAAGCCUUCGGCUCAACCGGAGAAUUGCAUCAGAAACUGUUGAACUUGAGUGCAGAAGAGGAGAGUGGAACUCCAUGUGUAGCGGUGGAAUGCGUAGAUAUAUGGAAGAACACCAGUGGCGAAGGCGGCUCUCUGGUCUGCAACUGACGCUGAGGCUCGAAAGCAUGGGUAGCGAACAGGAUUAGAUACCCUGGUAAUCCAUGCC